This 480-nucleotide long non-coding RNA is filed under the name Rattus norvegicus (Norway rat). Its description in RNAcentral is "long non-coding RNA NONRATT003779". Lineage: Eukaryota; Metazoa; Chordata; Mammalia; Rodentia; Muridae. The record is from RNAcentral.
CCCCCCUGGAUUGGUAGAUGCUCCUAGACUCAAACACAAGUUCUCCAGGGGAGACCCUGCGAGGCUUGGAGAGGACCCAUCACUACCGUCCCACCGGAAGGGCCCUGGGGUAGUGCAUCCUGGUCUUCUGGUUAUCACUCUAUUCACGGCUCCUGAAGCACGUGUUCUGACCUGGCAGUCAGCCCGCUUUUCCAUAGCCGGGGUAGAAAGUAGUCACCUUUGGAUAAUUUCUGAACCAGUGUUUGUCUUCUCCUUCCUCCCACAAUCCUCCCUCCCAACCAACCCUUUUUCUCUUCCCCGUCUUUUACCUCCCUGCCCUUUCGUUUUUUACAGCUCAAGUGGCCUUUCUAGGUGGGUAUUCCUCGGCUGCCUUUAGACUCUCUGAGCCUCUCUCUCAGGCUUCAUAUCUUUCUCUAGGCCUAGGACUCUGCCUUCAAUUCUAUGCACUUUAAAUUCCAUCAAUAAAGGAAAAAAAUCUAA